This 538-nucleotide transfer RNA is filed under the name uncultured Prochlorococcus sp. Its description in RNAcentral is "partial 16S-23S ribosomal RNA intergenic spacer". The stretch from base 213 to 285 matches the Rfam family "tRNA". Lineage: Bacteria; Bacillati; Cyanobacteriota; Cyanophyceae; Synechococcales; Prochlorococcaceae. The record is from RNAcentral.
CAGGGAGACAACAAAAUGUUUAAUAUUAUUAUUUUGUCACCUUAGGUCGAUCGGUAUCUCACAUUCUUAAUUUAUUAAGGAUUUUAUUUCCUAAGUUUUUUCUAGGUCACACCCAUUACUUUUCCUGGGCCAUUAGCUCAGGUGGUUAGAGCGCACCCCUGAUAAGGGUGAGGUCCCUGGUUCAAGUCCAGGAUGGCCCAUAUCUCUAUGUUGGGGGUAUAGCUCAGUUGGUAGAGCGCCUGCUUUGCAAGCAGGAUGUCAGCGGUUCGAGUCCGCUUACCUCCACUGAUUACCACCUCUUCCAUAAUUAUUAAGGAAAUGUUUUGAGUAGUGAUCAAAUUCUGAACGAAUCUAGCUUCCUAAUGAAUUCAUUAAGAUGCUGGACUCAUUGAUUUAUUUUCAUUGUUUUCAGAGAACCNUUGACAACUGCAUAGAUUAUUUUUAAAGACAAUAAGCAUCUUUAUGAUGCAGAUUUAUUAUUUGUGCGAAUGCAUUAAUAACAAUUCUAUUAAGCUGAUGCUUCAAUUAUGAAGUUAUU